Molecule: transfer RNA, 77 nt
Filed under: Halobacteriovoraceae bacterium
Lineage: Bacteria; Pseudomonadati; Bdellovibrionota; Bacteriovoracia; Bacteriovoracales; Halobacteriovoraceae
Also listed under: 1 other name
Description: tRNA-Arg
Rfam family: tRNA
About the family: Transfer RNA (tRNA) molecules are approximately 80 nucleotides in length. Their secondary structure includes four short double-helical elements and three loops (D, anti-codon, and T loops).
Source: RNAcentral
GCACCCUUGGCCCAGCUGGAUAAGGCGUCUGACUACGGAUCAGAAGAUCGGGAGUUCGAAUCUCUCAGGGUGCGCCA